RNAcentral lists this ribosomal RNA (484 nucleotides) under uncultured bacterium. RNAcentral describes it as "partial 16S ribosomal RNA". It matches the Rfam family "Bacterial small subunit ribosomal RNA", at positions 30 to 507 of the family's 1533-position model. The record is from RNAcentral.
AUUGAACGCUGGCGGCAGGCCUAACACAUGCAAGUCGAGCGGAUGAAGGGAGCUUGCUCCUGGAUUCAGCGGCGGACGGGUGAGUAAUGCCUAGGAAUCUGCCUGGUAGUGGGGGAUAACGUCCGGAAACGGGCGCUAAUACCGCAUACGUCCUGAGGGAGAAAGUGGGGGAUCUUCGGACCUCACGCUAUCAGAUGAGCCUAGGUCGGAUUAGCUAGUUGGUGGGGUAAAGGCCCACCAAGGCGACGAUCCGUAACUGGUCUGAGAGGAUGAUCAGUCACACUGGAACUGAGACACGGUCCAGACUCCUACGGGAGGCAGCAGUGGGGAAUAUCGGACAAAGGGCGAAAGCCUGAUCCAGCCAUGCCGCGUGUGUGAAGAAGGUCUUCGGAUUGUAAAGCACUUUAAGUUGGGAGGAAGGGCAGUAAGUUAAUACCUUGCUGUUUUGACGUUACCAACAGAAUAAGCACCGGCUAACUUCGUG